Molecule: long non-coding RNA, 3878 nt
Filed under: Citrus maxima (pomelo)
Lineage: Eukaryota; Viridiplantae; Streptophyta; Magnoliopsida; Sapindales; Rutaceae
Description: long non-coding RNA (CMAX_LNC000335)
Source: RNAcentral
UAUAAUACAGCAACCAAACAUGUUCUUGGGAUAUGUUUUUCUGAACUAGAGAUGACAUCACUAGCAUCUGGUCUUUCUCUUUGAGACAGCUGAGAGAGUGAGGUGCCGUGAGAGAUGCAAUCGAUGGGGGGGUAGAGAGAGGUAGCCGACAGUGAGAAUGGUAAGGAAGAACGGAGCGUAGUGAGAUUAGUGGAUUGGUGAGGAAGAGCGUGAGGGAGAGAAUGAGAGAGCAUGUGUUGUGGUUGAGAAUGUUGCAAUUGAAAAUUUACUGUAACCUUUUAUGCUUGCCUCAAAACUCACCGUUUUGUGCUAACUGUUGUGCUCAAUGUUGUAAGAAUAUCGGAACUGUUAUAAAUUUGUUUCUAAAUAGAAAACUCUUUUGUGGAGUCAAUAUUUUGAAAACCAAAGUCUCGAGUUCUUUCUCGUGCGUGCCUGGCCAGCAUCCUAAACCUUACUGCUAGCCGGAGAAUGGCGUAAAACGGCGGCGAUCUUCUUCUUCAUCUUUUUCUCUCUGUCAUCGUUUCAGGUAACCUUGUGAUUAUGAGUUUCUUCUCUUUCUUAGCUUGCAAAAAUAGGUUUUGAUUUCUUUAAUUCGUAUUGUAGCCAUUAAUAUCAAUUUUUGUCCUGCCGGCAAUAUUUUUUUGUUCCUAGAGGUUGAAGCCCUUCUGUUCUUGUUCCAUUGGUGACUUUGCUCACUCAAAUUAAUUUUGUUCUGCAGAAUUUACAAAGUUCAAAUGGAUUCGUUUGGAUUACUAUUGAAUUUAGCUUUCAUUUCAACAUUCAUUCUAAUGUUUUACAAUUAUGUAUUUAGAUUUACUUUAAUUUUAUGUUUAAAGCUUCUGCAAUGAAUAGCUGAGCUUGGGUCUUAGUUUCAUUUUCUAAUUAACUUGUUUUAGUUUAUCUUAUAUGCUCACCAAGUGCUUGUUAUAUUGUCUGAUAGGUUAUAUAACAUUGCUGAUUCUAUAUUAAUAAUGUCAUGUUCCAUUUUCAGAAAUUAUAAUAUAAAAGUUUUUACAAUGGGGUGCAUCUACAAACUGAAUUGACUUGUAGAGUAAGAGCUUGGAGUAGUGUUGCAUUCUUGAAUAAAUGAAAGUUCAUAUUGUGUAAGAGCAUGUAGAUGUAAAGCAUCAUUACCAUUUCUACCAAGUGCUUUCAUUCCGUUCAGAUGCUCCACUUGAACUUUGGAAGGUGCCUCAUUCAAGUCCUAGCUAUAACUAAUAGCUCUGAUUAAUUAAGUUCAUGUGCUAGCUGAAACAGAUUUAAUUAAUUAAUUAAUUAAUUGUGUAUGUACUAAUUAUAUUGAAAGUAUAUGAAGAAAUUGUUUAACAUGAAUGACUUCUAAAUGACUUAAAAGCCUAGAGGAUAAGUGAAAUAAUGCUCAUUUCACUUGAAUGAGCCUAUUAAUACUUGUAUGUCUAUGAUUGUCAAUAUUGCUUAAGUGUUUCAGUUAAGUGGUUUACCUAGCAGGGAAAAAAAUUUAAUGGAAAACCUUAGAGUUUUAAUAGAAAUAUAGUUCACUAUGCAGAUAUAGUUAUUUUACGGUAUAUAAAUCAUGUUGUCCUAUUCUCAAUGUCCUACAACCUAUUUUAUUUUAUAUAGUCAUUCAUUUUUACGAUGGUUUUUUGUGUUUAUGAGUAUGGAAAUAGUGGGAUUUGGUGUACCUUAGCAUCUUUCGAAAAUUCUCUUUAAAUGCGGCAAACAAAAAUAUACAUAUAAUCAAGUUUCUUAAUCAUGUAUAUUAGGUUUGGGUACGAAUGUUUUCCUAUUCUAGUUCUAGGCCAAGUUUCUUCAUUUUGGUCUUCAGAUUUCCAGUAGGUUAAGCUAAUCAACUAUCAUAACUGGCUAGCUAGUUAUUGCCUGCCUUGUCGCCAUUACCGACGCCAUUACAUUGCAUGGCAUAGGGAAUAGUAACUAUGUGAUUAUUGGUGAUUUGUUGAGCUUAUUAUUGACCAAACAAACAUAUUCGCCUUUACCCACAACUUGGUUUGAUUAGUUACUGGACAAUAAAGAGCCUUAAUCUAUGCAUUGGCUUUCUUAUUUUUAUUUGGUUUUUCUUUCAACAAUAUUGUUGAUUUCUUAAUCAUUGGCUAUUUAAUGAAGCUAAUUAAAACUAAGGCUUCGGAUCACUUUCUUCUAACAACAAACAAAUGAGGAUAACCUAUCUCCUCUAAGCAAAUUUUUCUAAUAUCCUUGAUUUGUUAGGACCUGGAGGCCUGAAAUCCUCUAGAUUUUUUUAGCAUUGCCAAUGUUCCUUUUAUUCUGAAAAGGAAAAAAAGGUUAUAUCGUUUAUACCCUAACAGUAAAAUGGCCUUUGACUUAACAUGCCUUCCUGAGGAUUUGCAAGAUUCACAAGCAGCCUAGCCACCCCCCAACGCAAAAAAAAUAAAAAAUAAUAAAAAUAUAAAAUAUAAAAUAUAAAAACCCAAAUAGGAAGACUUUGCAACAUUCACAACGUGGUUACAUUUAAGUUAUUAAUUGUGUGUGUGUGUACUAGUUAUAUGUUGAUAGUAUAGGAAGAAGUAUUUUAACAUGGAUGACUUAAAACUUAUUGCUCAGUAAACAUAGUCUGCAUCAGUGCUAGAAAAUGUAUUCAUUGUUUGUAUUUUUUAUGGUUUUGAUUAAGAAAUGAAAUGUGAAAAAAUGCUACAUUGUAUUAGGAAUAAAUUGAAGAGAUUUAUGAUAUUUAUGUGUUAUUCAAGUUUCAGAUUCAAUUUUAAACUUUUGAUACAUGCAUUGAAAGCUUAAACUCCUUUAAGAAGUUAUUGAUAGACACAUGUUUUAUUAGUGUCAUCUUUGGAUGAUAGUGAGGAUCUUAUGUCUAUUAAUAAUUCUUGAAUUAUCCAGGCUCGGACAUUUUGGUAAUGCAUAGUUUUCUAUGGUAACUAGUACCUGAAAUUUUUUUCCCACAAAAAAUGGGCUUUUCAGUAGCUGCUCCUCAUAUUCUGGGUGCAUACUAGACGAAUGGGUGUCGUUUUGUUUUGGGAUAACACAUAAACACUCAUAUAUCUAUGUCAUGUACUUGAAGAACUAUAGGGAGAUGCUUCCGAAAUUUCUAUAAACGUAGAGGAAAACUUUAGAUACUUAAGGUUGAAGAAACUUAUGCAUUCUUGAGUGGGAUAUAGAGGACCACUUACCUUUUGUAAUAUGAAGGGAAUGUUGGAUAUAUUGAUGGGAGUGGAUGAGCUGAGUGGGAUGAAUGUAAACGGUUAUGAUUUUGCUGAGUUGACUUGGUUUUGAGUCUUGUAAUUUUGUUUAUAAAUGGAGUACUAUCUCCAAUGUUGGUUUAUAAAUAUGUUUCAGCUGGCUGACCUAAUUUUUUAUUUCUAGGUAACAGGCUUUAUAUAUUCGUAAUUGAUAGCCAAGUGAAGUUCUCAGCAGUGGGUGAGGAUAUUUCUUUACAGAAGGUAUUGGAAACUGUUUUUCACAUUAAUUAGUAUUGUAUACAUACUUUAAUUUCACAUCUUUUUCUCUGAUUCUUGUGGCUUUGCUUGCUUUCAUAUAUAUAAACAUUCUAAUGAGAUUAACAUAAAAUUGUAUAAUGAUUUUUUUUAAUUAUAAAUUGCGCGCACACGAAAAUAUCUUGUUUAGUAGUAGAAAUGAAGAACUAAAAUGAUUUAUUUAACUAAUUUUUCUAGUGCAUUAAAAGGAGAUAGUCAUGGACAAGAGUUGGGUUGGUUUGCCAAAUAGAUAUCCAAGUCAUAUACUGAUGGGGUUGAAAAAUUUAUAGAUUUUGCAUUUGAGAAUGUUGUUGGUGAUAAAAGAAUUUAUUGUCCUUGUAAGAAGUGUCGUAAUAUCGAUAUUUCAUUAUAAGGGAAGUGGCAAGAGACCAUAUCAUUACAAAUGGCUUUUGGUUAAAGUAUUGAAACUGGAUAUUGCAG